Ipomoea nil (Japanese morning glory) is the source of this 109-nucleotide long non-coding RNA. RefSeq lists it as uncharacterized. NCBI's taxonomy places the organism in Eukaryota, Viridiplantae, Streptophyta, Magnoliopsida, Solanales, Convolvulaceae. The record is from RefSeq and is a predicted model, not a curated record. The transcript has 3 exons.
CCGUCCCCGGCGGGGAAUUGAAAAUAUUCCCCAUCCCCGUCCCCACGAGGGAAUUAGGCGGGGACAGAGAUUCCUCAUUCCCCGUCAACUUUGAGGGUGUGUUUGAUUG